Lingula anatina is the source of this 75-nucleotide non-coding RNA. The record is from Rfam. NCBI's taxonomy places the organism in Eukaryota, Metazoa, Brachiopoda, Lingulata, Lingulida, Lingulidae.
GUUGGUCUGUGAUGUAUGUAUUACCUACAUUGUAUGAGCAGUAUUCAGUGAUGUGAAAGGAUUACUGAGAUCAAC